CUUUUUCACUGACUAUCAUCUUUGGAGUUUACUCUACCUUCUUCCAAGAAGAUGAAAAUCAGCUUUUCCUCUGUGUGUGUGUGUGUGUGUGUGUGUGUGUGUGUGUGUGUGUGUGUGUGUGUGUCUAGUUCUGUGCUUGUGUGUACAGAUGCAUAUAGGCAAAAAGAAGGACCCACAUGGCUUCAUUCAUAACCUUACAACUUUUUUUUAUAGAUCUUUAUACCCAGAAAUUUGUCUGUUCCUUCUAAAUCAUCUAGAAUUUCUCAAAGGAAAAGAUAAUUCAUUGUCCUGUUGCCUAAAAGCAGCUGCUGCAGAUGUUUGGAGAGAAGGUGUAUAUAAACACCCUGAAGAGAUAAUGUCUCUCACCAGCAUGGAACUCACCAAGCAGGCUAACCAGGCUAGGCUGCUCAGCGAACCCCAGAAAUUUGUCUGUCUCCAUGUUUCCAACCCUGGCAUUACCAGCUUGCUGCAACACACCUGGCAUCUGGGGAGAGAACUCAGGUCUUUAUGCUUGAGAG
This is a long non-coding RNA of Rattus rattus (black rat), 518 nucleotides long. RefSeq lists it as uncharacterized. NCBI's taxonomy places the organism in Eukaryota, Metazoa, Chordata, Mammalia, Rodentia, Muridae. The transcript has 2 exons. The record is from RefSeq and is a predicted model, not a curated record.